This 28193-nucleotide long non-coding RNA is filed under the name Ananas comosus (pineapple). RNAcentral's name for it is "long non-coding RNA (ACOM_LNC010441)". Lineage: Eukaryota; Viridiplantae; Streptophyta; Magnoliopsida; Poales; Bromeliaceae. The record is from RNAcentral.
UUACAGUGUAUCCUCACUUGGAGAGGAUAGAUCUAGCUCACAGUCUGCGUUUGGGAUGGUAUAGCCAUCCAAUCCCCACAUGGAGGGGAUUGUCGUCGAGUACUCCGGAGUGUCGCGCGACUAGGACCACUUGGAGGUCCGGACCACAUGGAGGUCCGCAGACGGUCCCGGGCUUGGGUGCACUUGGAGCUCCCUCCCCACUUUGGGAUUGAAAGGUGAGUCAUGGGCGAGCCCUAGGGCCUCGCCACAGAUUGGGUAAAUGAAAAGGUUAAAGGUUUAUAAAUGUCAUUGAACAUUACUAUUCGAACAUGGAUCGAAUUUGUUAGCAUGGUAGCAAACCUUUAUUAUAUGAUGCAUGCAUUCAUAUUCAUGAUUAUGGGCAUAGUAGCAUAGUUUCCUACUAUUGCAUUUACAGUUUUCAGAUACAUAUCUAUCUAUCUGUUGUUACUUGUCCCCACUUGGACCUAAUGGGGAGAUCGGCAGAGUCGGCGGCCAAGCCCAUUGGAAACUAUGGAAGAUAGUUCUCACCCUACUUUAUUUCCAGUGAUAGGUACAGGGCUGCCGAGGGAGGACCGCGGCAAAGGCAUCGCGCCCGAUCAGUGAGACUGUGGUAGUAUAAUAGCUUUCCUUUUUGCAUUAGUUCACCUAUGUAUGUUGAGAGAGAUUCAUUGUAGGUGAGGAUUUGGAGAGCUAUGUAUUUUGAAAUGAAAAAUGUAUUCAUUUAAAGAAAAUGAUGUAAAUGAGGACUAUAGAACUACUGUAAUAGUUAGUAAAGUACUCUCUUUAUUUCACAUGCUUUAUCUUGUGGAUUGCUUGCUCUUUGUAUUGUUGGCACUGGUUGUGCCUUGGUGGAUGUGGAUGUUUAGAAUUUAAAUUUCCGGGUAAAUUCUUGUACACAUCCCUGUUGUUGAGCCUUGGGCGGACAGAGGAGGUGCUGUCCGUUCGGCUGUCCGCUCGCCGCGCCCGAAUCUUGCCAAAUUGGUAGUGAUUUCGGGGCGGUGACGUGACAGCUGUGGUAUCAGAGCAACAAGAGCGAGUAAAGUGAGAAAGUCUAGGAUGACCUAGGAGACCCUAAGUUGGUAAGCCUUAAGAUUAUAGGUGCGUGAGUGGAACGUGAACCUAUAGCGAUGGCGGAAGUUAAAUUCGAUUGGGUCGAAGUUGGUAAUAGGUCUCUAGUUGUGAUUAGAGACGGACUCAAGUGGUAUGAGUUCUUGCCUUGAGGUGGUUGUGUCGGCGGCCGAUGACAUGAUGCCAAGAGUCUAGAACGAGUGCACUUGUGUGCUUCCGCCCGAUUUUGUUGUGAGUCGUCAUGUGUCGUAAUUGUGACGAGGUAAUUGGUUAAGAUAACUGACCAAGUAUUUGCGUUUCAGGGACUAAUGUCUCCAAGACGCUACACGCGUAGAUCUGCCCCAGCACUGAUUCCUGCGGUGCCUGAGCAGGAGGAACCGAGCGUGAUGGAUCGGUUGCAAGCGUAGGUGACCGCUCUGACCAAUGUGGUGCAGCGCCAGGAGACCCGAUUUGAGCGGCUCCAGGACCUAUUAGAGCGGCAGAUUGCGGCGGCGGCUGCGACGGUGAACGAGGGCGGUGGUCCGCCUGCACCCUCGACUCAUGUACCUGGAGCGGCAGAGGGUGAGGGCAUAGCGGCGGUUCCGGUAAAGGCACGCCCACUGCCAGCGAUCGUACCACAAGCGGCAUCGGGAUCGGCUACACCCGAUGUGACGGCCGACGACGUGGAGGGAGAGCGAGCAUUGUCGGCUCUCAUCAAGUUCAACAAGUACCAUCUGCCAACCUUCGAGGGCGAGAAGGUGGAAGCGGAGAUGGUCGAGUCUUGGAUUGACUCGAUGGAGACCCUCUUCGAUGAUCUACGUACCUUGGAGAGGGACAAGGUGUAUCUCGCCACCCAUUGCUUGGAGAAGGCGGCGAAGGUUUGGUGGAAGCGCGUCAAACGGGAUCGGCUUCCUGGCCUUCCGCCAAUGUUGUGGGAGGAAUUCAAGCGGGAGAUGUUCGCCAACUAUUUUCCCGAUACGUUGAAGCGGAAGCUCAAGGAGAAGUUUCGCAAGCUAGAGCAAGGGGACCGCUCAGUGGCGGAGUAUGAACAGGAAUUCUCCCAUAUUAUCGAUUGCGUCCCGGAUGUUGUAAAGGAUGACCGGGACUGGGCCGAGUGGUUCUUGCGAGGACUUCGGCCGGGGAUCUACAAGGCCGUGCAGAUACUCAAGCUCUCGACCUUUGCGGAGGCCUUUGAUCGAGCCCUAUGGGCGGAGCACGGAGAUGCCCACGUUUAGGAGAAGCGUGAGGCUUUGGCGGAGUCCAAGGACAAGGGCAAGAAACGCCAAAGUGGCGGUAGUUCGGGGGGACAAACACGUUACAAGAAACCCUCGAAGCAUCCGCGCACUCAACAAAAGGACGGUGGAGCGCGGCGAUGCAUUGUAUGCGGCGGAGACCACCCAGUCUCGCACUGUGAGCAAGGCCGAGGCAAAUGCUACAAGUGUGGGCAACCGGGGCACUUCAUUCGGGACUGCCUUGGAGGAGGAGCCUCACCUACCCCAUCGAUUGCAUCGGCACCGGUGAUUCCGGCUCACUAUGGAGGAGCUCCACCAACAGCCGCGUCGACGGGACGCGCGAUGAUGCCGCGUCAACAUGAGGCGACGCGACCGGCCCCGAGCGGACGGGUGUUCGCCGCUCAGGUCCAGGCUGAGGAACCUGCAGAGGCGGAGAAGCAUUGCCUUGUGGCAGGUAUGGUUUUGAUUAACGGAGUUCGCUCCAGGGCUUUAUUUGAUACAAGAGCCACGCAUUCAUUCAUAAGUAGAUCAUUCGCACGCAUGCAUGACAUACUCAUAGAGGCGAGUGACAAGUGGUGAGUGGAGGGCCCUGGGUCAACGUUUAACACUUACUCAGAGUGUGCGUCGUGUCCCAUACAAAUAGGCGAUUGGAUUAUGCCUAUCCGGACACUGGAACUCCCAAAACUUGAGGCUUAUGACGUCAUUCUGGGUAUGGACUGGCUCUCGAAAUAUCACGCAACGAUCGACUGCAAGAGCAGGGUGAUCACAUUCCGUGAGCCAGGACAAGAAGAAUUCACCUAUCGGGCUUGUCAGAGAUCGUGCUUCAUCGCGACAGUGUCGGCGACAAGAGCAAGGAAGUUGGUGAGCAACGGUUGUGCGGCGUUCUUGGCGACCGUUGUGGAAGUGGAGCGAGUAGCUCCCGCAUUAGAGGAGUUAUCGGUGGUGCGGGAGUUCCCGGAUGUGUUUCCUACGGAGUUACCGGGGAUACCACCGGAUCGGGAGAUCGAGUUCGUCAUAGACUUGGUUCCCGGUACCGCACCGAUCUCGAAGGCUCCGUACCGUAUGGCGCCGGCGGAAUUGAAAGAGUUGAGGAGUCAACUGCAAGACCUCCUCGACAAGCAAUUUAUCCGGCCAAGUGUAUCACCGUGGGGAGCCCCGGUGUUAUUCGUGAGGAAGAAAGACGGAUCAUUCCGACUCUGCGUGCACUAUCGAGAAUUGAACAGAGUCACGAUCAAGAACAAGUACCCACUUCCCCGAAUCGAUGACCUAUUCGAUCAGUUGCAGGGGUCGUGUGUGUACUCGAAGAUAGACUUGCAAUCCGGCUACCAUCAAUUGAAAAUCAAGUCGGAGGAUGUACAGAAGACUGUGUUUCGUACGCGGUAUGGACAUUACGAAUUCACGGUCAUGCCCUUUGGACUCACGAACGCUCCAGCGACAUUUAUAGAUUUGAUGAACCGUGUCUUCAAGAAGUAUUUGGAUCGAUUUGUCGUGGUCUUCAUAGACGACAUAUUGGUCUAUUCUUGUAGUGACGAGGAACAUGCCGAGCAUUUGAGGAUAGUGCUUCAAGUCCUGCGGGAGGAGAAGCUAUAUGCUAAACUGAAGAAGUGUGACUUCUGGGUCCGCGAGGUCGCCUUCUUAGGGCAUGUGAUUUCCGCGGGUGGAGUUUCCGUAGACCCGAGAAAAGUUGAGGCAAUCAAGGACUGGCUGCGCCCGACGAAUGUCAUGGAGGUUCGAAGCUUCGUGGGCUUGGCGGGCUAUUAUAGGCGGUUUGUGGAAGGCUUUUUCAAGAUAGUGAUUCCACUUACCCGCCUGACUCAAAAAGGCACCAAGUUUGUUUGGAGCGAGGAGUGUGGCCGGAGUUUUAAAGAGUUGAAGUAGAGAUUGACUUCGACUCUGGUGCUCGCUCUACCUGUGCAGGCCGAAGACUUCGUGGUCUACAGCGAUGCCUCCUAUCUUGGACUGGGGUGUGUAUUGAUGCAAAACGGGAAAGUGAUCGCUUAUGCAUCCCGUCAGCUGAAGAGCUAUGAAAAGAACUACCCUAUCCAUGAUUUGGAGCUAGCGGCGGUGAUUUUUGCCUUGAAGCUGUAGAGGCACUACUUAUAUGGUGCCCAUUGUGAAAUCUAUACCGACCACAAGAGCUUGAAGUACCUGUUUACAUAGAAGGAGCUCAACAUUCGUCAGCGGCGGUGGUUGGAGCUGUUAAAGGAUUAUGAUGUUGAUAUCCUCUACCACCCCGGGAAGGCAAAUGUGGUCGCGGACGCACUUAGUAGGAAGUCGACGAAGAACCUCGCUUUUGAUGUUACCUAGCAAACACCCCUGUGGCUGGAUAUGGAGCGAUUGGACCUUGAAGUGGUCGCUCCCGAGGUCCCGACUCAGCUGAUGGCACUCGUUGUCAAACCGACCUUGUUGGAGAGGAUUAAAGAUCUGCAACCCGCAAACCCAGAACUCCAAAAGGUGCGGCAAAAUAUUAAGGAAGGUCAUGGCGGCGAUUUCAAGGUAGACGCCGAUGACACGCUUCGGUUUCGAAACCGAUGGUGUGUGCCGAAAGACGGAGAGCUUCGUGAAUUGAUUCUACAAGAAGCACACCGAUCUUCAUAUGCAGAUCACUCGGGCGGCACCAAAAUGUAUCAAGGAUUAAAAAUGCACUAUUGGUGGCCGGGAAUGAAAGGCGAUAUCGGACGCUUUGUGGUGAAGUGCUUAACAUGCCAACAAGUGAAGGCCGAGCGUCAAUUUCCAGCGGGAAAGCUUCAAAGCCUACCAAUCCCUGUUUAGAAAUGGAAUGAUAUAUCGAUGGACUUCGUGGUCGGCUUGCCUUGCUCAACGGGCGGCCACGAUGCAAUUCGGUAAUUGUGGACCGAUUGACAAAGUCGGCUCACUUAUUGCCGAUCCACACCACGUGGUCGGGUGACAAGUUAGCGCAGGUAUACCUCGAUGAAAUAGUGAGACUGCAUGGGGUGCCGAAAUCGAUCGUGUCGGAUCGUGACCUUCGGUUCACUUCACACUUCUGGAAGAGCCUGCAGGAAGCCCUUGGCACACGGCUCGACUUUAGCACCGCAUUUCAUCCUCAGACCGAUGGACAAACAGAGAGAACUAUUCAAACUCUGGAGGACAUGUUGCAAGCGUGUGUCAUCGACGAUAAGGGAAGCUGGUGUGAUCACCUACUUAUUGCCGAGUUCGCCUACAACAACAGUUAUCAUGCUAGUGUGGAGAUGGCACCGUUCGAGGCUCUCUAUGGGCGGACGUGUCGGUCUCCUAUACACUGGAGCGAUGUAGGUGAGCGUACAGAGUUCGGCUCCGAUGUUCUGCGAGAAGCGGAGGAGAAAGUCCAUCUUGCUCGCAAGAGAUUGCUCACGGCGCAGUCGAGACAGUAAAGCUAUGCAGAUAGGCGCCGUCGAGAUAUAGAAUUCGCGGUAGGUGACCGCGUGUUCUUGAAGGUUUCACCGAUGCGGGGUAUGAGGCGGUUUGGAGUACGAGGGAAACUAAGUCCCCGAUACGUUGGACCAUAUGAGAUAUUGGAGCGAGUCGGCACGAUAGCCUACCGACUUGCUUUGCCGCCGAAGCUUGCGGAUGUACAUAAUGUGUUCUAUGUCUCCAAUCUCCGCAAGUACAUUCACGACCCCGAGCAUGCGAUGCUAUAUAAACCGCCGAAACUUCAAGGAGACUUGAGCUAUGAAGAGUUUUCGGUAGGGAUUAUCGCCCGAGAGGUGCGAAAGUUGAGGAAUUGAAAAAUUCCCUAUGUGAAGGUUAGGUGGAGCAAUCACGAGGAUCGCAAAGCCACCUGGGAACUCGAGGAUCUGAUGAGAAAACACCAUCCUUAUCUAUUUGAGGAGUAAGGUAUGGAUUUAAGUUGAGGUAAAGAAUUGAGUUUGUUUCAAGGACGAAACUCCUCUUAGGGAGGGGAGGAUGUAAGAAAGUGAAUUCUCAAAAUCCAGGGAUUGUAUUACAUCCAGGAUCGACUAACUGUCGAGAGAAUGCCCUUUGGGGAAGUUAGAGAAUAUCCAAAACACAAAAAGUGCUUUGGAGUUGAGUCCACGAGAGCAAAUGAUGCAAACUGCAUUAUUGGGCUGAUGUUACUCUCGGGGACCGGUCUCUGGAGGUGAGAGACCGGUUCCCUUGGCUGGGUGUAGCGGGGUUGCUAGAUGCAACCGGUCCCUAGCAGGGAGGGACCGGUUCCCGAACGUGGUCCCAGCAGAAAAGCCGAAAUUUGGCUAAGUCCUGAAAAUUGAGCUCUCGAGGACUGGUCCCUCAGGCGAGGACCGGUCUCCCGAGGACCGGUCUCCCGGGGAGAGACCGGUCCCUCCGCACGAAAAUUGCCCAGUAAGGGUUGUGCAAUGGAUGGAAAAGUAAGGGGUUUAAGUGCAAAAUAGCUCUCAUUAGAGGGUGUUGAGCCCUCUCUCUCUCCCUCACAGCCUCAUUUCCCUCUCUAUCUCUCUUUCUCUCUUGCUCCCUCUCUCUCUCUCUAGAAAGGAAAGGAGAAGAAGAAGAACAAGAAGGAGAGGAAGGAAAAGAAGGAUAAGGAAAGGAAGGAGAAGAAGAAAGAGAUCAAAAAAAAGGCUUUGGGCAACCUCAUCUCCCUCUCCUCUUCUCAUUGGUGUAGCACAAGAGGUAGGCUUUUGAACCCUAGCUUCUAGAACUUAGGGUUUUGGGUUUUUGGUGCUUUGGAAUGGGUCAAAUGGACCCUAAACAAGCUUCUAAAUAGAUCAAUCCUAAGAAAUCUAGGGAUUUAUUGGUGGUUUGCUAUAGGUGCAAACCUAGGGCUCCAAAAUGGGGUUUUUGUGAAAGUAUGAGAUCGAUCUCAUUUGAAACCUUGGAAACCCUAUUGAUAGGUCACAAAACGCGGGGGUGAAGUCGAUUUUGGCAUUCGGCAAGCCGGCGUGAAGUUUUCGGCAAAAUAGGGCCGGACUAGCACCGACUUGGACAAGGAAGGCUAAAGCCUUUUCGUACAGUUCGUCGAGGAGCGUUUCUAAAGCCUCUCCAUUGAUUAAAGGUGGGGGGUGCCAUCCCGAAGCUUUCGGACUCCUUUCUAUGUCUUAGAUUGCAUUGAUCUUAUCUCUUCAUGUUGCAUUGUUGGAUUGCAUAGUAGCUCUAUUCCUUAUGCUUUCUAAUUGAUAACCUAGUGUACUUGGAACGCUUGGUAACUUAGAUAGGUGAGGAUUGGGUCGGAACGUGGAUCCUAUGAUGCGAAAGAAAAGAGAUGUACCCGAUGGGGGUGUUGAUGACAUAGAAAGUAUUGUUAAUGUUAAAGAACAAACGAGUGGCAUCCAAACAUUGAAUGAUGACGAGUGGCAUUAAUGUAGUGUAAAUAACACUAGAGGUUUGAGAACCUAGGGAUAGGUGGAUCCCUUAGAAAAUGCCUUGUGAACAAUGAAUUUAGACAAGCUAAAUAGCAUUGCACGAAUGUCGGGAACAAAUGAUCCCGCGAGAGAUGUUGACUCUAGUUAGAGCCUCCUCACUUGAAGAGGAUUUGAUUGGGUUGCGGACCCUAGUUAUAGUGCUUCCUCACUUGGAGAGGAUUGGAUUGGGUUGUUGACCCUAGUGAUAGUGUAUCCUCACUUGGAGAGGAUAGAUCUAGCUCACAGUCUGCGUUUGGGAUGGUAUAGCCAUCCAAUCCCCACAUGGAGGGGAUUGUCGUCGAGUACUCCGGAGUGUCGCGCGACUAGGACCACUUGGAGGUCCGGACCACAUGGAGGUCCGCAGACGGUCCCGGGCUUGGGUGCACUUGGAGCUCCCUCCCCACUUUGGGAUUGUAAGGUGAGUUAUAGGCGAGCCCUAGGGCCUCGCCACAGAUUGGGUAAAGGGAAAGGUUAAAGGUUGAUAAUGUCAUUGAACAUUGCUAUUCGAAUAUGGAUCGAGUUUGUUAGCAUGGUAGCAAACCUUUAUUAUAUGAUGCAUGCAUUCAUAUUCAUGAUUAUGGGCAUAGUAGCAUAGUUUCCUACUAUUGUAUUUACAGUUUUCAGAUACAUAUCUAUCUAUCUGUUGUUACUUGUCCCUACUUGGACCUAAUAAGGAGAUCAGCAGAGUCGGCGGCCGAGCCCAUUAGAAACUAUGGAAGAUAGUUCUCACCCCACUCUAUUUCCAGUGGUAGGUACAGGGCUGCCGAGGGAGGACUGCGGCAAGGGCAUCGCGCCCGAUCAGUGAGACCGUGGUAGUAUAGUAGCUUUCCUUUUUGCAUUAGUUCACCUAUGUAUGUUGAGAGAGAUUCAUUGUAGGUGAGGAUUUGGAGAGCUAUGUAUUUUGAAAUGGAAAAUGUAUUCAUUUAAAGAAAAUGAUGUAAAUGAGGACUAUGGAACUACUAUAAUAGUUAGUAAAGUACUCUCUUUAUUUCACAUGCUUUAUCUUGUGGAUUGCUUGCUUUUUAUAUUGUUGGCACUGGUUGUGCCCUGGUGGAUGUGUAUGUUUAAAAUUUAAAUUCCUAGGUAAAUUCUUGUACACAUCCCUGUUGUUGAGCCUUGGGCGGACAGAGGAGGUGCUCUCCGUUCGACGGUCCGCUCGUCGCGCCCGAAUCGUGCCAAAUUGGUAGUGGUUUCGGGGCGGUGACGUGACAGAUACGCUUACGGGAACCGGUCCCUCUGGCCAGGGACCGGUUGCAUCAGCUGUCUGCCGCAACCUCAGCUAUGGGGACCGGUCCUUCCCACUAGGGACCGGUCCCCGAGAGCAACUCUACGCAGACCCCUUCUCUGCCAGACCUCCUGCUUACGGGAACCGGUGCCUCCCGCCAGAGACCGGUCCCCGAGAGCAGAAUCUACCAAGUACAGAUCAUGCACUAUUCGCUCUCGUGGACUCGAUUUCCAAAGCACUUUUUGUAUUUUGGACAUAUUUAGCUCCUCCGAAGUCUACCCACUCGACAAUUAGUUGAUCCUGGACGAAGUCCAACUCUCGGAUUUCGAAAAUUCACUUCCUUACAGGGGAUGUUGACUACCACGGGGCCAUUAGGCACGGCACCGGCCAGAUAGCCUACGGGUGGGUUUUCAGGCCAGACAGCCUACAGGCGGGUCUUACAAAAUUAGAACUUCAAGUAGUUAACAUGCCAUAUGGACAUUGGCUAGAAUUGUAACCACCGAGAUCUCGGUGAAAUAUUGUGGACUUUAGCCUAAUUGACUAAAGUACUCGAAGGGAUUGGUUGGACGCGAUCCAUUAACGUUCCAACACUGUUAGUAGGGUUAAAAAAUAAGCUCUAAAUGAGUUGGAAGGGUUUUGGCAUCGAACGACGCGAAAUAGAGCGGAAUCGAAGUCAAAAAUGACUUUCUGGGUGUCUUGUACCGGUACAAGACCAAUGGUUGUACCGGUACAACCAGCGUAGUACAGUGGCUUGGAGCUGCCAGGCCUUGUACCGGUACAAGGGGUCUUGUACCGGUACAAGCACUGCGCAACCGAGAGAGCCAGCUCUCGGGUUGGGCUGUCUGCCAGGCCUUGUACCGGUGUCCCGGGGUCUUGUACCGGUACAAGCACUGCGCAACCGAGAGAGCCAGCUCUCGGGUUGGGCUGUCUGCCAGGCCUUGUACCGGUACAAGAAACCGUGUACCGGUACAAGGAGCCCAAACAGCACAGAAUUGACCUGUUGCAAAUAGGAAUGUUUGGGGGGUUUAUUUGUAAUUGUUGCAAUAUAACAAAUACCCCAAACACCCUCUCUCUCCCUUUCGUGUCUCCCUCUCCCUCUCUCAACCGUUCAUAGCAAAGAGAAAGGAAAAGAGAAGAAGAGAAGAAAGGAAAGAAGAAAAGAGAGAAAAAGAGAAAGAGAAGAAGAAGUUGGAGAAGAUGGAGAAGAAGAUCUAGAAGGAGAUCUGCAUCCUCUCCUUCAUCUUCCUUGAGCCAUUGGAGCUCUUUUAGAGGUAAGCUCUAACCCUAAAAUGGCAUUUCUAGGGUUUAGGGUUUUUGGUUGCUUUUGAGUGGUUCAAAUGGAACCCAUUUGAGUUGGAGAAGAUGGUUCUAGCUCAUAUUGAAGCUUUGAACCAUGGAUUGCACCAUUGAUGCAAACCUAGGGUUAGAGUUUGGGUUUUGAACCCUAGAUCUUUGAUUUUGAUCUCCCUACAAGUUUUAGAACCUUGUAGAAACCAAGAACACAUGAAAUCCAUGUUGUUCUUCGUAGUGCUCUAAUAGUGGAACCCUAGGGUUUGUUUUAAAUGCCCUAGGGAUGAUUCUAAUGAGAUGGAAGCAAGUUUAGAGAACUUCUUGGGUGAUUCUAAACUCGAUUAUGCUUAGCUAUGAGAUCAAUCCCAAGAAAUUUGAUUAUGGUAUUGUUAGGGCACCGAAAUUGGGGCUUUUGCCUCCGGGUGUUUCUAAGGCAAAUUGGCCUUGUAGAAACCUAAUUGGGGACCUAACGAACGUAUUGGUGCGCUCGGUUCGGCAAUCUGACGAGCGUACGUGAAGUUAUUGACGAAACGGUCGGUUUUGGUACAGAUAGCCGCAGCACGCGAAAUAAAGGUCUAAAAAUCAUGAGAUUGGAACCGGAGCACCUUGGAGUCAAGGAAUAAACUCCGGAGAAGACGGAUCGCAGUUCGGAGGCCGUUUGGAAGUCGCGCAAGAGUUCGGACCAAACCGGACAACGGUUGCCGCGGGAGGCCGAUUGCAAGUGACUACAAGCAAUCGGAACGCGUGCUAAGGUGGGUUGGUUUACCGAAGCGACUAGGUCGCCUUUAUGUCUAAUUAUUAGACUUUCAUGUUGAUGCAUGUUGAUGAUCGGCAUAGUUGAUGCUAAGUAGAAAUGCAUAAUAUGAUGUAGAUGCUAAAGUUGAUGCAUAUAAAAGGUUAUAUGUACGCGUGUAAACUAGAUGGAUGCAUGUAAGCAUAAUGCAUAGAAUGAAAUGCAUAUUGAUGACAUAAGUUAAAAUGAGAUAUAGAAUGCAUGAUGAGCAAGUAAUAUAAUGCUACAUAAUUACAGGAAUGCAUGUGAGCAUAAUGGAUAGAAUGCAUGUUGACAUUGUGAGAUAUAUGUGCAUGAAAACUAGGUUGAUAACCCUAGAAUGAUUAAAGUAAAUGAUGCUAUGCUAAAGUAUAAAUGAUGAGCAUGAUAUGAAAAUAGUACAUACAAGUACAUGGUAAGAAUGCUAAGAAAAGGACAAGUAUAGGUGGACAUGAAUAAACCUAUAGAUCGAGUGGCAUUUAACCUAGAGUUUUGAACGUAGGUUAAAUAAGAAUGAUGCUAAACCUAAUGUAAAGAACAUAGGUGGUGAAAUGAAAAUUGCUUAACCUAGAGUCAAGUGAACCUAGGUUGGAAAGAAUAAUGAUCCUAGUGUAAUGAACCUAGGUUAAGAAUGUGGAAGCAUUAAACCUAAAGUAAUAGCUUAGGUUGUGUAAAGGAUGUUGAACCUAGAGUCAAUUGGACCUAGGAGAUAAAGGCUUAGACCUAGAGAGGUCAGUUCCAUAGGGUUAAGACCAACCCUUGGUUGAUGUGAUAUGGAUUCCGGAAUCCCGCUGCUUGCUGCUACACCCAAAGUGGUGUCGGGUGUGUGCGACGAUUUCGCCGCCCAGGGGCUAGAGAACCAUUGUCGUGGCGUGUGUGCGACGAUUUCGCCGCCGGAUGGUUAGCCAGUUUGUGGAUCCUACCGCCUGUUGACUGAACCACUGUCGUGGCGUGUGUGCGACGAUUUCGCCGCCGGGUGACUAAGUCAUUGAACCUAGGCCGUUGUUGGGUGAGGUGCGAUUCGUUCGCCGCCAGACGGCUAGGACAGGAGUACGGUGAGCUGUUGCCAGCUGAGGUGCAUGUGAGAGUUCCUUCACCUCGAGCUAGACAGUGCGCGGACUAUCCGCGAUUGAUUGACUCAAGACCGAGUCGGGUGGCUUUGUUGACUAAGGUAAAGUGACCUUAGAGUAGAAUGCCAAAGGCUAAGAUAUAGCAUGGUUCAAGAAUGUUAAGAGUAAGGGACAGCUAAACGAUAAUGAAUAGCUAAAGAGCAAAGAAUAGCUAAAUGACUAAGAAUAGCUAAAGAAAAGUUGCAAGAAAGGAAUAGCGAAGAGCUAAAAGUAAGCAUUAUAUGGCAAAGAGUAAAGAGUGAUUAAGAAUAUAAGUAGUGUUAAAGUAACCUACUUGCAUGAUUACAAGUAUUGCAUAUUGCAUUUCGUGAGGCAUGACAUGUAUUUCAAUUGAAUAUAUAUAUAUCUGUUGUAUAUUGUUGAUCUAACAUGUUGCAGUGCCUCGUUAGACCUGUUGGCUGAGCUUGUUCUCUUGGGUGGCUAAACCCACUGAGGACUAUGGACAAUAGUCUCACCCCCGUGUUGCUGUUUUGGGGGUACAGGUACACACGUGUGCGGCGCGGCGGUGCAAGGCGAGGACAUAGUUCUGCAGAUAGCAUCCUACCCAGAGACUGAGAUAGCAGUACCCGAGUUGGUGGUCUAGCUUGGGAGGUUUAAAGACAAGCUUUAUCCAGAUGUAUCAAAUUGUAAUAAGUAAUGAUGUGCUAAUUAUGAUUGUAUUUGGAGGUUGAUUGUAAAAGAAAAGUUAUGGUGUAAAAUAUAUCUAAGUUGAAUGCUGUAAUAACUUAGUAGUCUAUGUUUUUGAUACUUCCUUAUGCAAUCUGUGAGUGAAUACUAUUCCUGUUUGGAACCUCUCGUAUUGUAUUGAUUGCGACGCCUAGGAUGUACAGGGGAAACUCUGUCCGUUCGGCGGUCUGUCGGCGGCGCCGCGACCCGGCCAAAUUGGCGGGUGGUCGCGGGUCGUGACAAGAAUAUUAAACAUUGACAUUUUACUAUUUCGUUGUAGACAUCAUGUUGGUUGUAUAUUCCUGCCUAUUCAUUUAUAGAAUAGCUUUCUUACUUACGCAAUUUCAUGCUAAGUAGAGAUAUCAUGUUGUAAUAAGUUUACAUAUUUAUUUACAUGUCAUUCAUAUCGCUUUUACUUUUACUUACCUGUUUAGUUGGGCCUUGUGGAGUACAUAACUGAAGUCAGUAAUCGCCCACUGGAAACUAUUAUUUAAUAGUUCUCACGCCCCCUGUUUUAUGUUUUAUUUCAGAGCUUUCAGCACCGACGGAUGCACGGGAUCGCGGCAAAGGGGUCACAUAGCUAGUUAGCGCGGAGCUUGCUUUUGCUCCUAUGGUCUACUCUCUUUUUGUGUUUUUGGUGAGAGAGAGUUUUGUUACCAUGUAUAGAGACCACCAUUGUAUUAUUCUUAGUCCUUGUAUUCGGGAUUUCUUUUUGUACUGCCUUUCGGUUUACUUAUAGAUGGUUGAUAGUUCCUUUACUUGUUUCCUUUCAUAGAAUCUAGAUGUUGUUCUAUGCUCUGGUAUCUCUAGAUCUUCUUUUAUUGUUGCUUUAUUUAUCAUUUUGUGGUAGACGCCUUAUAUGUUUUAGACAUAUGGCGGGUCUGUACGAGGUUGGUACACUGCGGACCUCCGCUACACUUGUCGGGCGAGGCCAAUCUUUAAUUGUGUCGACUUUCCUCGGAUCUACCGAAACUCCGUCGCCCGACACCACAUGACCCAACAAUGUGAACUCCUUUAGCCAAAAGUCACACUUCUUUAACUUAGCAUAAAGCUUUUCUUGUCGGAGUAUUUGCAACACAGCUUUCAAGUGCUUUUCAUGCUCCUCCUCGCUCUUCGAGUAGACCAAUACGUUGUCUAUGAACACCACGACGCACCGGUCCAACAACGGCCGGAAAACUCGGUUCAUCAAGUCCAUAAAUGCUGCCGGGGCAUUAGUAAGCCCAAAUGGCAUUACCGUGAACUCGUAAUGGCCAUACCGCAUACGGUACGCUGUUUUGUGCACAUCCUUCGGUCUAAUCUUUAGUUGCUGAUACCCCGACUGGAGAUCAAUCUUCGAAUACACCUUUGACCCUUGCAACUGAUCGAAUAAAUCGUCAAUCCUAGGCAACGGGUACUUGUUCUUUAUCGUCACUUUAUUCAACUCGCGAUAAUCUACGCAGAGUCGAAGUGUGCCAUCCUUUUUCUUCACAAAUAGCACCGGAGCUCCCCACGGUGACACACUCGGCCUCACGAAGCCUUUAUCGAGCAAGUCUUGCAAUUGAGCCUUAAGCUCCACUAACUCCACCGGUGCCAUUCUAUACGGAGCCUUCGAAACUGGCGCCGCCCCGAGAAUCAAGUCAAUGACGAACUAAACUUCCCAGUCCGAUGGCAGUCCCGGUAACUCCGCCGGAAAUACAUCCGGGAAUUCACAUGCUACCCUGAUACCCUCAAGCUCGGGGUGCUCCCUUCGACCAUCAACCAUGGUCGCCAAAUAGGCCUUACACCCUCCUUUAAUCAUUCUUUUGGCCCUCACUGACGAUAUGGUCGCCGCAAAACGUGCGCCUCUGCACGCCUGAUACACUAACUCCUCUUGGUUAGGCUCACGAAAGGUGAUAACCUUGCUUUCACAAUCUAUGACCGCGUAGUAUUUGGAAAGCCAAUUGGUCCCCAAGAUAACGUCGAAUCCCCACAUCCGGUCUAGCACUAGCAGAUCUAUCGGCAUGAUCCAAUCGCCAAUCUGCACUGGAACCUCCAAGCACUCAUCAUAAACACGGAACGAUUGCUCGGGACCAUUUAUCCACCAAUAGUCCUCAUUAUGUGUCAUUUCUAUGCCAUGCGUCUUUGCAAAUGAUGCACCUACAAAUGAACGUGAUGCACCAGUAUCGAAUAGUGUUCUAGCUCUAGUGCCAUUAAUCAUAAUUAUACCUGCCACAAUGUCGUCGGUUGCUGCAGGCUGCUCCUCCACCUGAGCGGCAAAAACCCGUCCGCUAGGUGCUCUCGAUCCUUCCGACUGACGCGGUGAUGAUGCGCGUCCAGCCAACAUUGCUGGUGGUAACCCCAUAAACUGUCUCGGGUCGACGGUGCUGAUGCCGCCGUCGGCGCAGACGACGUCCAGCCCAGGCACUCCCGAAUAAGAUGUCCCGGUUGGCCACACUUGAAACAUUUGCCGUCUCGCUUUGGGCAAGUCGACACUCGGUGCUCUACGCCACAAAUGACGCAUCGAGGUGGUCUCCACUUCCUCGACUGUUGUCGGGGAUACCGAGGGAGUUUCUUAGCAUUCGGCUGGCCCCCGGCACCGCCCGCCGUUCGCUUCUUGCCUUUGUCCUUCGUCUCGGCCAUAGCCUCCCGUUCCUCUCGAACGUGGGCGCUACCGUGCUCCGCCCAUAGGGCUCUAUCGAAGACCUCCACAAAGGUCGUCAACUUAAGAAUUUGCACCUUCUCAUAGAUUCUCGGCUGCAGUCCUCGUAAGAACCAGUUAGCCUGAUCCCGAUCAUCUCGAACAACAUCGGGAACGCAAUCGAUAAUGUGAGAGAACUCUUGCUCAUAUUCCCCCACCGAUCGAUCACCCUGUCUCAACUUACGGAACUUCUCUUGUAGUCUCUGCUUUAUCGUGUCGGGGAAGUAGUUCGCGAAUACCGCUCCUCUUGAACUCCUCCCACAGCAUAAGCGGAAGAUUGGUAGGUCGAUCCCGCUUGACUCGUUUCCACUACACCUUCGCCGCCUUCUCGAGACAAUGGGUGGCGAGGUACACUUUAUCCUUCUCCGAGGUAUUCAGUCCUCGAAGAGUGUUUCCAUUGAGUCAAUCCACGACUCCACUACCACUGGCUCCACCACUCCACCCUCAAAGAUAGGUGGGUCGAACUUCUAAAACUGAAUCAGAGCUGCCAGCGCGCGCUCUCGCUCCGCCUCUACUGCCGUACUAUCGGGAUUUGAGGUUCUCGAUCCGGCCAGUACUACCGUGACGGGCACAGCCGCUGCUAUCGCCGCUCCCUCGUCUACGCUCGGCACCACCGCAGGGGGUGCGACAUGCUCGACACCCGCCUAGGUCGUCGCUGCUUGCUGACGCUCCAAGGCUUCCUGGAGCCGCUGAAUCUGCUCCCCUUGGCGUUGAACAGACUCCGCUUGUUGCCACACUACGCCGAUAACCGCGGCCAUCUGCUCCCUAAGCUCUCCGUCGCCACUCGCUCCGGAUCUCUCGGGCGCCGCAUUCGACUCCUCAGGCAUCGACCUUGUCUGCGGUCGAACACGAGGUGCCAUUGCUUCCUGAAAAGAAGCAACUCGCGUUAGCUACAUGACCAACAUUACUCAUCCACACCUAAUUCGGCGAAAGCAACUUACGCGUUCAUUCUCACCCCAAGCAUUAUGUCGUCGGCCGCCCGACACAACACGAGGAAUAGAGAACGAAUGUUAAUUUAAACUUAGCCUCUAAUCACAUUAGAGACAUCCCAACUCGACCAAAUCACAUGCUUUCGCUAACUUUGAUUCCACGUCACUCACGUUUCCUAGAUCCUUAAAGUCUUCCAAUCCUAAGGGCCUCUAGGUCUAUUCCUAUUCUUUCACUUUGGCUCUGAUACCACUAUAUCUGUCACGCCCCUGGACCGAUACCAAUUUGGGCCGGCCCGGGCACGUCAAAUAGAUGCCGAACGGACAGAGUUUUUUCUGUCCGCCCAAGGCUCAUUACCUGUACAUUUUCAAGUAGAGAAAAGCACUAGUGGAAACAUACACAAAUGGCUUACACGAGGGUAAGCAAUAGUCAUGAGUGAAAGUAAGGAAGCUAACUACUACAUAGGUACUAUGAUUCAAUUUGAUCAUAUACAGUUCAUUCAACUUAUACAUUCUUUGCAUCAUCUCUUUUUACAUCACAUUUGCUCAAAAUGAAACAUUACAUUCUUUUCUCUCAUUUGCUUUAUACAUAAACAUCUUCAAAUACAAAAGAAGAUACAUGGUAGACUACUAACAAAAUGUGAACCUGACUCGGGUAGCCACUGUCUAUGGCGCGAUACCUUUACUGCGGUCGCUCGCCGGCUCACUCGGUCCCGGCUCUGUGGAAAUAGUGGGGUGAGAACUACAACGAAGUUUCCAGUGGGUUCGGUCCCAAUCUCACCGACUUUCCCACUAGGUCUAACUCAGGCAUAAUAGAAAGGAUAAGCUGAAAGAUAGUAACCAAACUAUACACAUGAUACUAAUAUGCCUGAAUAAUAUAGCAAUAAGGAUGCUCAAUAUAAAACUCAUGCAAUAUGCAAGUUCUUUCUUCUUUAUUCUUUGAUCUUUGUUUUUUCGUUCAAUCUCACGGCUAGCCCGGGGGUAUCGCCUCAUUAACUCACCAACUCAAAAUCCAUGAUCGCGGGCCCUCAGCUUCCUCCCGCUAGGACCGUCCUCUGAGUAACUCAACCCUGUGAUGACAAACUCCGGAGUGCAUCACCCAAGGGGGAGCUACCGCCCUUGAGCAAGGACUUAUAGCGAGUAUGAUCAAAUCCUUAACUCAAACGAUGUCAAGUUCAAUCCAUUCCUUAACUCUAAGGAAUUAUACACAAAUAACCCUUAGCUCUAAGGUUGUAUGUCAUCGUGUCUCAAUCUCAUGUUCUAUGCAUUCUUUACUUGACCAUGUCACUACACUAACUCUAGUGUUCUUUAUGCCAUAUUUUGUUGCUAACUCUAGCAAUUAUCAUUCUUUAAUGCCACACAUUUAUUCUCUUGAUGCCACACACAUUAGCUCUAGUGUUCUUUACGUCAUACGUCAUGCUAACUUUAGCUUUCAUUCUCAACAUUUCAUUGUCCUCAUAUCAUAUGUCACUUGUUCUUUAACUUCACUAAGUUCUUAUCUCUUUUUACAUGCACAUAGAGGGUUAUAACAUUCUCACUGGUUCUCAACCAUCUCAUGAUGCACUUGAACUCACAAAAUGCAAACAUUCACAUAUUCCUAAUCUCAUUACCCUACUAUGCAUGCAACAAUUAUAUAUGUAUGCUCAAGAAGUGACACAUUAGACAUAAAGGGAAUUCCAACAAGUUUGGAUAGCACCACCCACCUUGUAGGCUUACUUAGGUGCUACGGUGAAUUUCUCGGAAUUUUUAGCCGCCUAGUUCGCUACCUGCGGCAAAACGAAGCCAUCUUAGGCCAUUUUGCCCGUAUCUUUCUAUAGACUUUUCGUAACGUUAUACCGAGCGCACCAACGCGUUCGUUUGGUCUCCAAUUAGAUUUCUAGAGGAUCAAUUUCACUUUGAAACCCUCACAAGCGAAAGCCCCAAUUUGGGUGCCCUAGCUCGAACACAUAUACAAAACCUAGGAUUUGAUCUCAUUAGGAAGCAAAAAAGAGCUUAAUCUACUCGAGAGAUCCCAUUAAAACCAUUCUUAGCUCUAUCAAAAUCCUAGUUUGGGUUCCACCAUAAGAGAGGUUGAAGCUCACCUCUAAGCUUCACCACAUAUACCCAAUCCAUGGUUUUGAUCUCUUAAGGAAGCAAAAGAAAGCUUCAAAUACUCAAAAGGUUAUACUAAAAUCAUUUUUAGGUCAUUUGGUUCUCAUUCUAGUGUUUUACCAUGAAAGGGAUCAAAGCUUACCUCAAAGCUUUCCCUUCUAUGCUCCAAAGAGGAAGAAGAAGGAGUUGCUCCACUCUUGGUCUUCUUCUCCACCUUUGUCUUCUUCUUUCUCCUUCUUUUUCUUUCUCUCUUCUUUUCCUUGUUGUCUUCUAGAGAGAGAGAGAGAUGAGAGGGUGUGAGGGCGAGAGAAAAUGAGAGGAAAUACUUCAUAACCCCUCAUACAUAACCCAUGGGUUGCAUAAUUGCAAAUAAGCCCCUCAACUUUCAUCUCGAUGUACAGCCCAAACUGGGCCAUUUUCGCAUACGGGGACCGGUCUCUCUAUAGCAAGGGACCGGUCCCUGAGAGCACUCCCCAUAGCCUCGCAAAAGGGGUCCGGUCUCACCCUGAGGGACCGAUCUCCCAGGGACUGGUCUCUCACCGCAGGGACCGGUUCCCGAGAGCUGCUCUCGUGGGACUUAGCCGAUUUUUCCACUUCUCAGAUUUCACGCGUACGGGGAUCGGUCUCUCCCACCAGGGACCGGUCCCCGAGAGCUCAAAAACUGUAGUUGCAUAUUUUGAUUCUCCAGCUCUCGAAGAUCCCCAACAAUGCACUUUUACUCAUUUUAACGCCUUCGAACUUUUCGAAAUGUACUAACCUCGUACUUUGGUCAACUUGACUAAAGUUCGAUACUUAUUUUUCAAAUUUUUGGUAUAUUACAUCUAUGUAGUAGAGAGCUUGCAUGUGAGACUUAUUGUAAUAUACCGAAAAUUCGGAAAAUAAAUAUCGAACUUUAGUCAAAUUGACCAAAGUGCGAGGACGGUACACUUCGGAAAGUCCGAAGGUGCUAAAAUGAUCGAAAGUGAGUUGUGGAAGGUUUUCGAGAGCUAAAGAAUCAAUUCUGCAAAACUGCAGAUUUUCAGCUCUCGGGGACCGGUCCCUAAAGGGAGAGACCGGUCCCCGAACACGUAUGAAAUGAGACAGCCGAAAAAUCGGCUAAGUCCUGGAAGGAUAGCUCUCGGGAACCGGUCUCUGCCUGAGAGACCGGUCCCCCAGAGACCGGUCCCAUAAGGAGAGACCGGUUGCACUGCGCGCAGCAGCUCUGGCUGCGCAGGGUGGACGUUCGGGAACCGGUCCCUGCUCGGGGAGACCGGUCUCUGCCUGCGCGGAAUGCCCAGUUCGGGCAGUGUAUUAAAGUGAAAGUUGAGGGGUUUAUUUGCAUUUUGGCAACCCAUUGAGCUAUGUUAGGGGGGCUGAGGGGUUUUUCUCUCAUUUCUCACCCUCUCACACUCUCUUCUCUCCCUCUCUCUCUCUAGAAGACAAAGGAGAAGAAGAAGAAAGGAAGAAAAGAAGGAAAAGAAGGAGAAGAAAGUGAAGAAGAAGAUCAAGGAGCAAAGGAGCCUCAUCUUCUUCCUCUCUAGGGCAAGAAAGGAAAGCUUACAAGGUAAGCUUUGAUCUAUAUUGUAGAAAAACCCUAGAAUGAGUUUUGAAUAACCUAGAAAUGAGUUUUAAAGGGAUAUUUGAAGAGUUUUGAAGCUUUCUUUUGCUUCUUUAGAGAUCAAGUCCAUGGUUGAGCUCAAGGUGAGCUUCAACCCACCUCUAAUGGUGAAAUCCAAACUAGGGUUUGGAGUGAGUUAAGAAUGGUUCUUAUGGACUAAUUAGAGUGUAAUGAAGCUACUUUUGCUUCUCUUUGAGAUCAAACCCUAGGUUUGAUACAUGUGUUGGAGCUAGGGCACCAAAUUGGGGCUUUUGCUCAUGAGGAUUGCUAAGUGCAAUUGACCCUCUAAAAACCUAAUUGGGGGUAUUUCCGACGCGUUGGUGCGCUCGGAAUAGCAUUUCGAAAAGUGUAUGAAAGGUUAUGGGCAAAAUGGCCUAAUAAGGGUUCGUUUUGCCGCAGGUAAAGAACGAAGCAUCUAAAAAUCCCAAGAAAAAUCAUCGGAGCACCUUUGGAAGCCUACGAGGUGGGUGGUGCUUCUCAAACUCAUUGAAAUUCUCUCUAUGCCUAAUGUGUCAUUCUUUGAGCAUAUGUUAUAUGCAUUGUUGCAUGCAUUUUAGGGUAAAGUAAUGAAAGGAAUGUAAUGAUGCAUGAUUGUGAGUACAACUUGCAUAAUGUGAUGGUUAAGAACCUUAUGAAAGUUAAAACCCUAUAUGUAUGCAUGAGAGAAAAGUGAGCACCCAAAGUGAGCAAAAGAACAGAGUGGCACAAUGACAUAGAUCGAGUGGCAUUCGAUAAAGCUAAUGUGAAAUGACACUAGAGUUAGUGUGAUGUAAAGAAUUAAAGUGAUGUAAAGAAUGAUGAAAAUGACGACGAGUAAAGCUAAAGUAAAGUGGGCAAUAAGAACAAGAAUGCUAGAGUUAGCAAAAGUAAAAGAAAUGCAAAGAACAAUGAUUGCUAGAGUUAGCAAGAGUAAUGAGAAUGUAAAGAAUGUGAUUGCAUGAGUUUGCAACAUAAAGUGAUGUAAAGAACACUAGAGCUAGUGUAAAGUCAAGAUUGAACUUAUAAUCCUUUGAGUUAAGGAUAUGAUCAUACUUGCUAUUGAGUUCCGUGCUCGAGGGCGGUCGCUCCCCCUCGGGCGAUGCGCUCCGGAGUUAUGCAUCCGGGUUGGAGUAGACCCGUAAGGACGGUCCUAGCUGGUGAGUUCCUGCGAUGAUGGACUUAACGUGAAGCAAGUUAAUGUGGCGAAACCCCCGGGUUAGCCUUAAUGAUUAAAGAGCAAAGAACAAAGAAUAAAGAACAAAGAGUAAAGUGAAAAGAACUAAAGAACAUGCAUAAUCUGCAUCUAUUAAUGUUGAGCAUAUUCCUUGCUUUUGUUCAGGCAUAUUAGCAUCAUGUUAUAGAUUGGUUACCAUAUUUCAGCUUAUCCUUUCUAUUAUGCCUGAGUUAGUCCUAGUGGGAAAGUCGGUGAUAUUGAGGCCGAACCCACUGGGAACUUUGUUGUAGUUCUCACCCCACUAUUUCCACAGAGCCGGGACCGAGCGAGCCGGCGAGCGACCGAGGUAAAGGUAUCGCGCCUUAGUCAGAGGCCACCAGAGUUGGGUUUACAUUUUGUUAGUAGACACCCUUUUAUCAUCUUUUGUAUUUGAUGAUUUGUGAUGUAAAGAAAGAAUGUAAAGCUUAUUUUGAGGUAAAUGUGUUGUAAGAAAGAAAUGAUGAGAUUAUGUAAGAACAGCAAAGAAUCUUAAAUGUAAAAGAUGGAUGUAAUGUAUAUGAUCUAAAAUGAAUCAUAUUACUUGUGAAUGUUUAGUUUUCCUUUCUUUCACUUAUGGCUAUUGCUUACCCUCGUGUAAGCUGUUUGUGUAUGUUUCCGCUAGUGCUUUUCUCUAAUGAUGAAAAUGUACGUGUGAUGAGCCUUGGGCGGAUAGGGGAAACUCUGUCCGUUCGGCGUCUAUUUGUCGUGCUCGGGUCGGGCCAAAUUGGCAUCGGUCCCGGGGCGUGACACUUAUGCAUGUGUUUAGCAUUCUAAUUGGGACUUAGAAUCAUGCUUCAUAUAGUAGACAUGAUAAAUGUAUUAUGCCUUGGACAUAAACCUUGUUUGGAAUUAUGAGAAUACAUUAAGUCAUAAAGAGGCUUGAGACUUGAAAAUCAUGUAAAUUAGUGAGCUAAUGUCAUAAACCGACAUUGAGUUUGGGUUAUAUGUGAACCUUGUAAUAAUGCCAUAAAGAGGCAUGGGAAUUGGAACAUACUUAGAUAUAGCAAUGUUAUGGUGUUAUAAAGAGGCACUAGACUUAGUGAAAGUUGGAACUUCACCUUGUGACAUAGAACUAGACCGUUGGGUUGCUAGUGGAUAUUACCAUGUUAGAGAUAUGAUGAUUGAGUACUUGAGACGAUGACUAUGCUUGCUUGCCAUUUGUGCUUAUUUGCACAUGCUUGUGAGGGUCGCUCCCUACAAGCCGGCACUCCGGAGUUGGCCUAUGCGACUUAUGUUCGCUCGUGCGGUAUCGAGGAACCUACGGGGUCGAGAGGGAUAGACUCAUUCCUAGAGUGGGAAUGUUGGAGCUACCACCGGCACUUAGGUGGCACAAGCUGGACUACACUUCUGUAGGUCCUAAAACAAGAUUGAACAAUGACAACAAUCCAUAAAUGAUAAUCACUACUAGAUAGGGUGUAGUAGUUGGAUUACCUUGACAUGCUUAGUGCAUACUUGUGGACAUUUGAGAUAUGUAGUAUACUUAGUAAUAUCACUCAUUGCAUUAUAGUAUACUUGCUUGCCGUGUGGGAUCAUACUAGAUAUGUAUUGGACAUACUUGAUCAUGAUAGAAUGAAUGUACAACAUAUUGACAUCAUAUUGUUUAUGGCAUAGUAGUUUAGCAUUUAUACAUGCUUUCAUACCUGCAGUUAUUUCUGUUGCUUUUCGUUCCUACCUUACUCUUUUGGGCCUAGUGGUGCAUUGUGCUGAGGUCAGAAUUGCCCACUGGGAACUAUAAAUUAUAGUUCUCACGCCCCCUGUUUCUUGUUUUCUUUCAGAGCCUUCCACGCCGGGCGAGGCUAGGUACCGCGGAAAGGGCAUCGCCUCGAGCUAGCACUUUUGCGGGGGACGUAUCGAUAGGUGGUCUACCUCUCAUUGAUUUUAUUUUGGAGAGGUUGAGAGUUAUACCAUGUAUAGAGACCACCCAUUUUGUAUUUUGAGACUGAUGAUGUAUUUACUUUAUGUUUUAUAUUAGUGGAUUAGCUUCUUUUCUCUCCACUUGUUGUUAGUAUUUUAGCUGCUGGUUGCUCUGAUAUCUCUAGUUGUCUUACUUCUUCUUACCUUCAUAUCUCUAUUCUUGUAGACGCCUUAUAUGUGCAGGUAUAUGACGGGCACUGGGAGGGCCUAUGCCGGGUCCCGGGGCGUGACACCUAGCACCCUAAAGGUAAGGGAAGGAGGGUUACACGAAUGUUACGAACAACCCAUUGCUCAAACAUUAAGCAAUCCAAUCAAAGGUGAAGAAAACUCACCGAAAGCGAAGAAACCUCCCUCGAUCUCCAAAAGGGAGUUAGAGGCCCACUAAUCCAACCUAAACAAAGGUUCUAAUAAGAUCAAUUGGGCUUCAAAAGCCUCUAAUCAAAAAUCCCCAUUUACAACCCUAAAUCUCCAUUUCUAGGGUUACAACUAAAAAAUCAUGAAAAUCAUAAUCAAAAGAGAAGGAGUAAGCAACUAACCUCUCUAAAAGCUCCAAACAAGGCUCAAGAUCUACCGAAGUUGAGGUCCUUCCCUAAAGCAAGCUCCAAUCCCUUCUCCAAUGCUUCUCCAAUGGUGAAAAGAUCACCCAAAAGCCAAAAGAAGCAAAAUAGGAGAUCAAUCCUCUAAAAAUCAAAGAAAAAGAGAAGAAAAAUCAAAGAUGGAGAGUGGAAGAGCUCUCUCACCUUAUUCCCCGCUAGUCUAAGCUCAGGGAACAAGAGAGAAGGCGUAGGGUACAAAUAGAUAGGCCACAAUUGCAAAAACACCCUUCCAGUCUGAGCAGACUGCAGUCUGCAAUGUGUACCGGUACAUGGGAAAGUGUACUGGUACAAACCUGCAGUACGCGCAAACCCAAAGCUCGGGUUGGCAGAAAAACCCAUUUGUACCGGUACAACCAUCGAGUUGUCACCGGUACACUUUCUGUACCGGUACAACCAUCAAGGUGUACCGGUACACAGCCCAGCAAACUGCAACCCGAGAGCAGCCUAAGUCCAUCGCUUUGGUGACCUUAGCGCUACUUUAAAUACUAUAAUUCUUGGGAUAUGAGCCAUAGGUCGAAACACCGUCAAUGACCCUCCAUAAUAUUUGGAAAAACUCGGAAUACUAAUCAAACACUCGAACCUCGCAAUUUGCAAAGAUCCAGUGUGUUACAGAAUCAUUCACUGCUUUCGCAGGAAAAUUACAAAGACGGUGAAUGUCACGCCCCGGGACCCAGCGGAAGCCUACCCGGCACGUGCCCAGACCCGCCAUACGUCUAAAACAUAUAAGGCGUCUAAAAUAAAACGAUAAAUAAAACAAGAUAAAGAGAACAUUUAGUAGUAUCAGAGCAAGUAUAUCUAGAUGCUACAAUAACCGAAAUGAACAUAGAGCUAAAUCCACUAGGUAGAAAUAGGAAGUAGUACAAUAAACAUUCAAAGUACAAAUGCUAAACCAGAUACAUAGGUGGUCUCUCUAUACAAGGUACUAACAUAACUCUCUCUCUCUCAACUCAACAAAAGGAGAGUGAACUACCAAAAUGCAAAAGAAACGCCCCUUGCUAGCUAGCUAAGCGAUCCCCUUGCCGCGGUCCCGUGCCUCCACCGGUGUAGAGGGCUUUGAAAUAAAACCAUAGAAACGGGGGCGUGAGAACUAUUAAAAAUAGUUUCCAGUGGGCAAUUACUGACUUCAGUGAAAUGCGCCACUAGGCCCAAAACUGAACAAAAGAGGGUAAGUACGAGUAUAAUCAAAAGGAAUAGCAACAACUAAACAUAAGUACUUACUAUACCAUAAUGUCUCAACUCAGCAUGAAUUUUCGUAAUUAAUAAAGCUACUAUAACAUGAAUGUACAUAAAUGUGACUAGCAUGUAUAAGCAUGAAUAUGCAACCAACGGAAUGUCCACAAUGUAGAUAGUAAAAUGUCAUUGUUUACUAUUCUAGUCAAAGUCCAAAAUGGCAUGUUCUGUCACUAAGUUCCAAUCAUGUAAGACCCACCCGUAGGCUGUCUGGCCUGCGCCAUGCCUAAUGGCCCCGUGGUAGUCAACAUCCCCACUCUAGGAAUGAGCCUCCCCCACGGCAUCUCAUUUCGGCGCCCAAUCCUGCACGAGCGAGCAUAUGUCGCAAUGGCUAUCUCCGGAGUGCCGGCUUGUAGGGAGCGACCCUCACAAGCAUGUGCGAAUGAGCACAAUGGCAAGCAAGCGAAAGAUCUGUCUCAAGUACCAAGUCCUCAUGUCUAAAAACAUGGAAUAUAUGUCACAUAUCUCAAUGGCUUAUCUCUAUGUCAUCAUGUCUACAAUAUGGAAAAUAAAAGAUGUCCAUAGCCUAUUACUAUGUCCCAUUUAGUAGUUUCAAUGCCAAGUGCCCCUUUAUGACACUUUUGGUCUUUAUGUCCAAGCCUGAUAAUUAUGAUCAUGAAUGCAUAUUUCUAAUCAUUUUCAUCGUACGAGACAAGUACCCAACUCGCAAAAGAACCACUUCUCACAUGCAUGCUAAAAGCCCCGAAUACCCUACUACAUAAAGUGAAAAUUUUAUGAUACAUAAGGCAUGCAUUUUAAAGGUUCUAAAAUUCGCAUAAAUUCUAUUUAACAUGAAUAUGCAAUCAAAUUGACGUUACGACAAGUAUAGAAUACAUAGAGGCCAUUUUGCCCCGUUUUCAUGAAGCCAAACCCACCGGCCUCCUCGAAACCCUUCGUUUGCUCCAACGAAGGUGCCCCUAGCCUUCUAGUAUCCUAGAAGCAUCAAAAAGUGAGGCCAAAGAAGCAAACGAACAUCAAUGCGAUCAAACAUUAACCGACUCAACACAAGGCUAAAAACUCACCGAAUGCGAAGGGUGCUCUUUCGAUCUCCAAACAGGAGUAAGAGCCCUUCCAAUCCAACCUACACGAAGGUUCUAAACCCAUCAAGUGGGUUCUAAAGCCCACAAAUCACAAAUCCCCAAAUUCCAACCCUAGUAUCCAAAUCUAGGGUUUCAUCUAGUUCAAAGCAUCAAAACUAAAAUCUAGAGGAGGAGGAUAAGCUACAAACCUCUAAGAAGCUUCAAACCAAGCUCAAAGUCCUCUAGGUCCAAGAAUCUUCCCUCAAACAAGCCUCAAGUUCAAUGUAAGGAAGUGAAUUCUCGAAAUCCGAGGAUUGUACUUCGUCCAGGAUCGACUGAUUGUCGAGAGAAUACCCUUUGUGGGAGUUAAGAAUGCCCAAAACACAAAAAGUGCUUUGGAGUUGAGUCCGCGAGAGCAAAUGGUGCAAACUGCAUCAUUGGGCUAAGAUUACUCUCGGGGACCGGUCUCUGGAGGUGAGAGACCGGUUCCCCUGGCUGGGUGUAGCAGGGUUGCGUAAUGCAACCGGUCCCUGGCAGGGAGGGAUCGGUUCCCGAACGUGGUCCCAGCGAGAAUUGCCAAAAAUUAGCUAAGUCCUGAAAAAUCAAGCUCUCGGGGACCGGUCUCCCGAGGACCGGUCUCCCGGGGAAAGACCGGUUCCCGAACGCGAAAAGUCCCCAGACUGCAGGGAGAGCUCUCGGGGACCGGUCUCCCGGACCAGGGACCGGUCCCUCUGCGCGAAAACUGCCCAGUGAAGGCUGUGCAAUGGAUGAAAAGUUGAGGGGUCUAAAUGCAAAAUGGCAUUUAUUAGAGUGGGCUGAGCCCUCUCUCUCCCUCACACCCUCUCACUUUCUCUCUAUCCCUUACUCUCAUUUCUCUCUUGCUCCCUCUCUCUCUCUAGAAAGGAAAAGAAGGAGAAGAAGAACAAGAAGGAGAGGAAGGAAAAGAAGAGGAAGAUAAGGAAGGAGAAGAAGAAGGAGAUCAAGAGGAAGGCUUUGAGCACCUCCAUCUCCCUCUCCUCUUCCCAUUGGUGUAGCUCUUGAGGUAGGCUACUAAACCCUAGCUUUGUAAACUUAGGGUUUUUGGGUUUUUAUGCUUGGGAAUCGGUUAAAUGGACCCCAAGCAUGCUUCUAAGUAGAUCAAUCCCAUGAAUCUAGGGUUUUAUGAGUGGGAUUGCUAUAUGUGCAACCUAGGACUCCAAAUGGGGGCAUUUUGUAAAGUAUGAGAUUGAUCUCAUUUGAGGCCUUGUAAACCUCAUCGAUAGGUGCCCAGACGCGGGGGCGAAGUCGAUUUCGCGAUUCGUCGAGUGGGCUUAGAGCAAUCGGCGAAUUGCGGUCGUUUCGGCGUUACCUUGGACCAAGGAGGGCUAAAGCCUUUUCGCAAAGCUCGCCGGGGAGCGUUUCUAGAGCCUCUACGUUGGUAAAAGGUGGGGGGUGUCAUCCGAAACUUUCGAACUCCUUUCUAUGUCUUAGAUUGCAUUUAAUCUCAUCUCUUCAUGUUGCAUUGUAGGAUUGCAUAGUAGCUCCAUUCCUUAUACUUUCUAAUUGAUAACCUAGUGUACUUAGAACUCUUGGUAAUUUAGAUAGGUGAGGAUUGGGUCGAGACGUGAAUCCUAUAGUGCGAAAGAAAAGAGAUGAACCUGAUGGGGGUAUUGAUGACAUAGGAAGUAGUGGAUAGUGUUAAAGAACACGAGUGGCAUCCGAAUGAUAAAUGAUGACGAGUGGCAUUAAUGUAGUGUAAAUAACACUAGAGGUCGAUGGACCUAGGGAUAGGUGGAUCCCUUAGAAAAUGCCUUGUGAACAAUGAAUUUAGAAAACUAAAUAGCAUUGCAUGAAUGUCGGGAACCGAUGAUUCCGCGAUAGUCAUUGACCCUAGUGUAGGGCGUCCUCACUUGGAGAGGAUUCGAUUGGAUUAUUGACUCUAGUUGUAGAGCCUCCUUACUUGGAGAGGAUUGGAUUGGGUGUUGAACCUAGUUACAGUGUAUCCUCACAUGGAGAGGAUAGAUUUAGCUCACAAUCUGCGUUAGGGUGGCAUAGCCAUCCGAUCCCCACAUGGAGGGGAUUGUCGUCGAGUACUCCGGAGUGUCGCGCGACUAGGACCACUUGGAGGUCCGGACCACAUGGAGGUCCGCAGACGGUCCCGGGCUUGGGUGCACUUGGAGCUCCCUCCCAACUUUGUUAUUGAAAGAUGAGUUAUGGGUGAGCCCUAGGGCCUCGCCACAGAUUGGGUAAAUGAAAGGUUAAAGGUUAAUAAAUGUCAUUGAACAUACCCAUUCGAAC